GUGCCCGUAACUCAGUGGUAGAGUGUGAGAUUGCAAUUACUGAUCGCAACUCUCACGUACUUGCAUUAUCUUGAAGCCCCGUGUUCGACCCACGGCGGGCACU
Marasmius sp. AFHP31 is the source of this 103-nucleotide non-coding RNA. Lineage: Eukaryota; Fungi; Basidiomycota; Agaricomycetes; Agaricales; Marasmiaceae. The record is from the annotation of a GenBank genome assembly.